GGGGCUGUGGCUCAGUGCUAGAGUGCUUGCCUCACAAAAAAAAGGCACUGGUUUCCAUCCUCGGCACCACAUAAAAAUACAUAAAAUAAAUAAAUAUAUAUAUAUAAAAGUAAAAUGUUAAAAAAAGUAGGCAAAGGAUCUAAAUUGUUCUCUCAAGAAGACAUAAAAGUGGGGCAUGGUGGCGCAUGCCUGUAAUCCCCUAGCAGCUUGGGAGGCUGAGCAGGAGGAUCAUGAGUUCAAAGCCAGCCUCA
RNAcentral lists this transfer RNA (251 nucleotides) under Marmota monax (woodchuck). RNAcentral's name for it is "tRNA.Val". The record is from RNAcentral. Lineage: Eukaryota; Metazoa; Chordata; Mammalia; Rodentia; Sciuridae.